Molecule: unclassified non-coding RNA, 379 nt
Filed under: Hevea brasiliensis (rubber tree)
Lineage: Eukaryota; Viridiplantae; Streptophyta; Magnoliopsida; Malpighiales; Euphorbiaceae
Source: RNAcentral
AAAAAAAAAAAAAAAAAAAGCAAGUUAGUCUAAGUUUGAGUGACAACUUUCACAUAGAGGUUGAAAAAAAAUACAGAAACCUUCUUGAUGCUCCUCAGGUUGCAAGCAAAAGCAUUGCAAGAACCAUCGACAACAAUACUUAUAUGGUGUUACUUGACACAGCUGAGGAACAUGGAAUUUUUAGUCUAGCUGUAGUUAUAUGUGUAGCUUAAUCUUCACUGGAACUUGAUUAAGCAAAGGCCUGCCAUAAAACGAGUACAGCAGCUGGAUUUAAAAAAAUAAAAAAUGAAGAAAGAAAAUCACAUAUUACAUUCAAGUUUUAAUUAAUGAUUACAUUCUAGUUUUUAAUUUCAUUGCUGUUAUUAAAAAUGCAGGGUGC